GAGUAACACGUAUCCAACCUGCCGAUGACUCGGGGAUAGCCUUUCGAAAGAAAGAUUAAUACCCGAUGGCAUAGUUCUUCCGCAUGGUAGAACUAUUAAAGAAUUUCGGUCAUCGAUGGGGAUGCGUUCCAUUAGGUUGUUGGCGGGGUAACGGCCCACCAAGCCUUCGAUGGAUAGGGGUUCUGAGAGGAAGGUCCCCCACAUUGGAACUGAGACACGGUCCAAACUCCUACGGGAGGCAGCAGUGAGGAAUAUUGGUCAAUGGACGAGAGUCUGAACCAGCCAAGUAGCGUGAAGGAUGACUGCCCUAUGGGUUGUAAACUUCUUUUAUACGGGAAUAAAGUGAGGCACGCGUGCCUUUUUGUAUGUACCGUAUGAAUAAGGAUCGGCUAACUCCGUGCCAGCAGCCGCGGUAAUACGGAGGAUCCGAGCGUUAUCCGGAUUUAUUGGGUUUAAAGGGAGCGUAGGCGGACGCUUAAGUCAGUUGUGAAAGUUUGCGGCUCAACCGUAAAAUUGCAGUUGAUACUGGGUGUCUUGAGUACAGUAGAGGCAGGCGGAAUUCGUGGUGUAGCGGUGAAAUGCUUAGAUAUCACGAAGAACUCCGAUUGCGAAGGCAGCCUGCUGGACUGUAACUGACGCUGAUGCUCGAAAGUGUGGGUAUCAAACAGGAUUAGAUACCCUGGUAGUCCACACAGUAAACGAUGAAUACUCGCUGUUUGCGAUAUACAGUAAGCGGCCAAGCCGAAAGCGUUAAGUAUUCCACCUGGGGAG
RNAcentral lists this ribosomal RNA (771 nucleotides) under uncultured bacterium. Its description in RNAcentral is "bacterial SSU rRNA". It matches the Rfam family "Bacterial small subunit ribosomal RNA", at positions 108 to 880 of the family's 1533-position model. The record is from RNAcentral.